Molecule: non-coding RNA, 82 nt
Organism: Citrus sinensis (sweet orange)
Lineage: Eukaryota; Viridiplantae; Streptophyta; Magnoliopsida; Sapindales; Rutaceae
Source: Rfam
UACCCAUGAUGUGGACACUUCAAGAGUAGCCCAUUGAAUCGCUCCCAUGUUUCAAAAAACUGCUCGUCUUCUCUCUGAGUAA